CAUCCUGGCUCAGCCAUCGAUGUUCUAUCCUCAAUCAACCAUCUGACCUAUGCCCAAAUAGUAGGUCCACGAGCACAGAUUUUCUUCUAGAGGAAGGAGCAAUCACAGGGUGCUUGGAUUUGAGACCCCUGACUCCACACCACAUACCGGAUCCUCAUCAUCCUGCUCUAGAUGCAAUCCAACUGAAUAAGAAAUCUAAAAGUAUGUCAGGCAAUUAUGGCCUCCUUUCUGACCAACAGGAAUUGAAUUUUCAGACCACCAUCUCUCAU
This 269-nucleotide long non-coding RNA is filed under the name Elaeis guineensis (African oil palm). RNAcentral describes it as "long non-coding RNA (EGUI_LNC020771)". Lineage: Eukaryota; Viridiplantae; Streptophyta; Magnoliopsida; Arecales; Arecaceae. The record is from RNAcentral.